RNAcentral lists this long non-coding RNA (18376 nucleotides) under Prunus persica (peach). RNAcentral's name for it is "long non-coding RNA (PPER_LNC001010)". The stretch from base 10910 to 11016 matches the Rfam family "Plant small nucleolar RNA R71". Lineage: Eukaryota; Viridiplantae; Streptophyta; Magnoliopsida; Rosales; Rosaceae. The record is from RNAcentral.
AGUCCAAAACUUGGGGAACAUCAUAAUAUUGUGGGAGGAGUCAUUUGGUGGGUUUUGAGUGAAAUCCAAUCUCUCGAACUAUACAAUACACCAACUACCGCAUUUCCGAACGAACUUCGUACGAAACUGAAUUGUCCGAUUUCAAGCUCCAAUCGAUAUCGGAUUGAGUCCAAAACUUGGGGAACAUCAUAAUAUUGUGGGAGGAGUCAUCUGGUGGGUUUUGAGUGAAAUCCAAUCCCUAGAACUAUACAAUACACCAACCACUCCAUUUUAGAACGAACUUCGUACGAACCUGAAUUGUCCGAUUACAAGGGCCAAUCGAUAUCGGAUUGAGGCCAAAACUUCGGAAACAACAUAAUAUUGUGGGAGGAGUCAUUUGGUGGAUUUUGAGUGAAAUCCAAUCUCUAGAACUAUACAAUACACCAACCACCCCAUGUCACAUGCCGGGAUCAACUCCACCGUAGCACGAUAUUUUCCGCUUUGGGCCCCCCCUCUGCCCGUACGAUUUUGUUUCUGGGAGCUCACGAGUAACUUCCCAGUGGGUCACCCAUCCUGGGAUUGCUCUGGCACUCAACUCGCUUAACUUCGGAGUUCCUACGACUCCGAAGCCAGUGAGCUCCCAAAAGGCCUCGUGCUAGAUGGAUGUGGGUGUGCACAUAUAAGGCACAUCACCCCCUCUCCGUUUGGUUGAUGUGGGAUCUUACAAUCCACCCCCCUUAAGGGCCCGACGUCCUCGUCGGCACACUCGCAGCACACGGCAGAGUGGCUCUGAUACCAAAUUGUCACACCCGGGAUCGGCUCCCCCGUAGCACAAUAUUGUCCGCUUUGGGCCCCCCUCACUGCCCUCACGGUUUUGUUUCUGGGAACUCUUGAGUAACUUCCCAGUGGGUCACCCAUCUUGGGAUUGCUCUAGCCCCCAACUCGCUUAACUUCGGAGUUCCUACGACUCCGAAGCCAGUGAGCUCCCAAAAAGCCUCGUGCUAGAUGGAUGCGAGUGUGCACAUAUAAGGCACAUCACCCCCUCUCCGUUGGUUGAUGUGGGAUCUUACAAUCCACCCCCCUUAAGGGCCCGACGUCCUCGUCGGCACACUCUCACCACACGGCAGAGUGGCUCUGAUACCAAAUUGUCACACCCCUGGAUCGGCUCCGCCGUAGCACGAUAUUGUCCGCUUUGGGCCCCCCUCACUGCCCUCACGGUUUUGUUUCUGGGAACUCACGAGCAACUUCCCAGUGGGUCACCCAUCCUGGGAUUGGUCUAGCCCCCAACUCGCUUAACUUCGGAGUUCCUACGACUCCGAAGCCAAUGAGCUCCCAAAAGGCCUCGUGCUAGAUGGAUGCACAUAUAAGGCACAUCACCCCUUCUCCGUUGGUUGAUGUGAGAUCUUCCAAUCCACCCCCUUAAGGACCCGACAUCCUCGUCGGCACACUCGCACCACACGGCAGAGUGGCUCUGAUACCAAAUUGUCACAUCCAGGGAUCGGCUCCGCCGUAGCACGAUAUUGUCCGCUUUGGGCCCCCCUCUCUGCCCUUACGGUUUUGUUUCUAGGAACUCACGAGCAACUUCCCAGUGGGUCACUCAUCCUGGGAUUGCUCUAGCCCCUAACUCGCUUAACUUCGGAGUUCCUACGACUCCGAAGCCGGUGAGCUCCCAAAAGGCCUCGUGCUAGAUGGAUGCGGGUGUGCACAUAUAAGGCACAUCACCCCCUCUCCGUUGGUUGAUGUGGGAUCUUACACCCCAUUUAUGAACGAACUUCGUACGAACCUGAAUUUUCCGAUUUCAAGGACCAAUCGAUAUUGGAUUGAGUCCAAAACUUGGGUAACAUCAUAAUAUUAUGGGAGGAGUCAUUUGGUGGGCUUUGAGUGAAAUCCAAUCCCUAGAACUUACAAUACACCAACCACUCCAUUUCAUGACGAACUUCGUAUGAACAUGGAUUGUCCGAUUUCAUGGACCAGUCGAUAUCGGAUUGAGUCCAAAACUUGGGAAACGUUGUAAUAUUGAGGGAGGAGUGAUUUGUUGCAUUUUGAGUGAAAUCCAAUCCCCAGAACUAUACAAUACACCAACCACUCCAUUUAAGAACGAACUUCGUACGAACCUGAAUUGUCAGAUUUCGAGGACCAAUCGAUAUCGUAUUGAGUCCAAAACUUGGGGAACAUGAUAGUAUUGUGGGAGGAGUCAUUUGGUGGGUUUUGAGUGAAAUCCAAUCCCUAGAACUAUACAAUACAUUAGCCAUUCCAUUUCAAAACGAACUUCGUACAAACCUGAAUUGUCAAAUUUCGUGGACCAAUCGAUAUCGGAUUGAGUCCAAAACUUGGGGAACAUCAUAAUAUUGUGGGAGGAGUCAUUUGGUGGCUUUUGAGUGAAAUCCAAUCUCUAGAACUAUACAAUACACCAACUACCCCAUUUCAGAACGAACUUCGUUGGAACCUGAAUAGUCCGAUUUCAAGGACCAGUCGAUAUCGGAUUGAGUCCAAAACUUGGGGAACAUCAUAAUAUUGUGGGAGGAGUCAUUUGGUGGCUUUUGAGUGAAAUCCAAUCUUUAGAACUAUACAAUACACCAACCACCCCAUUUCAGAACGAACUUCGUACGAACCUGAAUUGUCCAAUUUCAAGGACCAACAGAUAUCGGAUUGAGUCCGAAACUUGGGGAACAUCAUAAUAUUGGGGAGUUGUCAUUUGGUGGGUUUUGAGUGAAAUCCAAUCCCUAGAACUAUACAAUACACCAAAAACUUCAUUUCAGAAAAAACUUGUUGAGCCUAUUGUUAACAACUAAAAUGAGUUAUUAAAAACAGCAACUUUAAUUCUCGCAAGUGCACGAACCGUUUAUAGUAUAGCUUAUGUAAAUACGAGGUCGAUCCCACGGAGAAUGGUAACUUGGUUCCAAGUUAAAUUACUUAGAAUGUUAGAAAAAUAUAGAACAAAGAAACUGACUAACUAGCUAAAGGCAUGGUCGAAUUCAACAAUGCCUCUUGCUAAUUACUCAAGGUCUAGGACAGAAUCCUAGCACCACACACGCACUCGAAAUGGGGGGUUUUUUUGUUGAAAUGAAAACAAGAAAGUGAAAUGAAAGUGCUCGAAAGUGAACACUGGCAGCAAUCAACAAGUUGUGAAACAAUGAUUGAGAGGUGUUAGAGCCUUGGAAUCCACCACUAGUUUUCCUAUCCAAGUUAUGAAUGCAUAGAAAUUGACUCAAGCUUCAUUAGCAAUAGAUUAUCGCAUACAAGCCUAUGGUAUCUAGGUGCAGGAUGCAUGAUUCUCCUAAGGCAUGUGAUUAUGCAUGGUAUCUACACAACACGUGAUCUCUAAUAUGCAACCUAAGCAUGGUAUCUACUUAGAAUAAAGCAUACAAGAGUCAUUAAGCUCCUUGAGAAUAUGAUAAUCACACAAGUCCUAGAACAUGGUAUCUGUCCUAGUCAACCUAUGGUUAUUAACCCCUUGAAUGAUUCUUAGGCCAUUCAUGUGUUGCUUGUGAAAGGAGAGUAGAAUUGGUGAAUCUAAACCCCUUCCCAACCUGUGCUAGAUGCAUAAAAUCCUAGUUAGCUACUCCAAGAGAACAUACAUCAAGCACAUAAUAAACUAGAGAUUAACAACUUAAUAAUAAAAGCAAGGAAAUCAAUUAACUAUAAAAUCAUCCAUAACAUUGAAUAUUCAUGACUAGGGCUUCACCCUAAGCCCUAACUAAAUGGAUUAGUUAGACAUAACUAUGAAUACAGAAAAUAAGAAAUACAUAGAUAGGAUAAAGAGACGAGAAGAACUAGAUGAUGGGAGCAAGGAAGUUCCCAGGACAGCUCCAAGCUCCCUUCUCUCUUUGUGGUGAAUCUGAAUGUGUAUAUGAAAGUAAUGGAUGAAAUGAAUGUGUGUGUCUGCCCUCUCUCCCCUUGAAAGAGUGUGCAACUCUCUAUUUAUAGAGUGCAAUUUCGUGCUCCCCUUUGGCUGGUGAAGCACACCUCUCUUAGCUGCUGCCAACUGCUCUAGCUGCCCAUACAUGCCUGUUGCUCCAGCUGCCCAUACUUGCCUGUUGCUCCAGCUGCCCAUACUUGCCUGUUGGACUUUUCUUGGUUUUUGAGUUCCCAUACUGAUUUGUCUCCCAUGUGUGGCUGCUCUAAUGUGUAGCACAUGGCUCUAGGGAUGUAGCCACAUUAAAUAUGAUGGCAGCCAACAUGACAUUUCUGCGAACUUGGUUCAGUCUUUGACGUGUUGAGGGCUCCAGUUGUAUCCAAUUGGGCUGAACUUUGGAUAUGUUAUAAUAGACGCCCAUUGGAACAACGUCUAUGAAGGAUGUCUCCUCAUCUGACCUGUGUAAGUUACUGAAAUGAGGCCUGCAAGAUGACCUACGAAACUGGACUGACAAGGAGUGUGGCACAAAUUGGUUUUGUCUUUAAGCUCAUAUUCCACUUGUGCCACUCAGCCCUUAACAUGCAUGAAUUGUAUCAAAUGUCAUCCCCUUGCUAUAUUAACCUACAAAGCACACAAACAUAGGUAAGAGACUCAAAAUAAAGAGAAGCUAACAAAAUUACUAAGGAAAGAAGGCAUGCAAAUGUGUGAAAUUAUGAACUUAUCAAAUACCCCAAAACUUAGAUUUUGCUAGUCCUCGAGCAAAACAAAAUAAAACUACAACUUAGGAAACAGGAAAUAAGCAACUAGCCUUCCAAACAAUAUCCUCAAAGAAUCAUCAGUGUAAAUGGUUCCAAAGAAACACAACAAUCACAAUCUAAGUUCCACACAUGAUUCACGAGAAAGCAAAGCUAGCAUUGACACCCUUAAGUGUAGUGUGUGAAUGCCAAAUCCGAACAACACCUGCAUCUCAAAUAAGUACAUGUGCACACACUUAGAGCAAAAUCAAGAAUUCCGAACCCCAUAAGCUCAUUAUCCAAUCUGCUCUCCACAGUAAUACCAUGCAACACCAAGGAUCAAAAGGACUUUACAAGGGUAGUAAUGAGGUUUAGGGUAGUGGUUGAAUGAAAGAAGGGAUAUGAGAUAUACAAUAUUUUGAGCACACUUAAAGCACAGGUAAGAGCAUAAGAGAGUACUGAACUUUGUAACAAGCAAGGAACACAUACAUGAGCAGAUUUUCAACAUAAUUUCAGCACCUUGAAAUGUGUUUAUUUGGCCUAAUUUUGUGGCUCUUUACCCUAGAUCACAAUGAUGUUCUCCUUAUAACACCCUAGGGCCGUGACUACAUUGGUCACACUUCAUUACCUCUUUUGAUUAGUUACCAAUACCCCCAAACUUAUUUCUUUUCAACACUUGGGUUACGGCACCAAUUAUUCACUUUUGCUCUAUAAACCUUGCAUUCUUUAUAACUCUCUUUUGAAGAUAACUUUAAUUGCUCAUACAAUAAGUAAGGAUAAGAAAACAGAGGCUCAUUAUGGUAGGAUUCAUUUACACAAAGAAAGGCUUAACGUAGGCUCAAAUGGGAUGACUAGGGAUGAAUACAUGUAGAGGGAUGGUUAGAAAGGCUCAAACGGUUCAAACAUGGCCUAAAUCACUUCCUAAGCAUUGUAUGGCAACAAAAUGUCUCAAGAAAUAUUCAAAUAAGUUCUAGAGUACGAAACCAAGAUCAUGAGAUAACUAGAAUUGCAUAACGUCUCUAAGUAGCAAGAUGUUGGACUAACUUGGCAAAGUGCUCAAUAAGUGCAAGGAUGGCAUGCAGGACAAAGUUAACUUAGAAUCACACGCAGACCUUAAACAAUGACUAUCAAUUUCUGAAAAACCAUAAUAGUAUUAAAUCUAAGUCUUUAUCAUAGGUGUUUGGAAGGAUAACGAAACAACACACAAAAUCCUGCGUUUUUAGACAGUAGACACACUCAAAAAUUUUAAAAUUUGACAAUUUGAAACAGCAUAACUAAAUCCUUCCCCCCAAACUUAAAUGAAACAUUGUCCUCAAUGUUUAGAGUGUAAGAAAAAGCAAUGCCUCAUUAAUGAAAGGAAAGAAGACAAGGGAAAGACAUAACCAAAGGUUAGAUUUCAGAAAAACUCCCCUUUGAAGCGAUUAGGAUGCAAGCAAGCUUCCUCGCAUAUUCUAUCUUCUCCUCAUCACCUUGGGUUGCCUCCCAAGAAGCGCUAAGUUUCACGUCGUCAGCCGGACGUCCAAACUCUGGUGAGCUUUAAGAGAGUGGUGGAGGCUCCUUGAGUGCUUGAGACUCAAUAUUGGCAUCAAAGUUGGCAUCGAAGUAAGGUUUCAACCGAUGUCCAUUCACCUUGAAGGUGCUGCCAUCCUUAAUGUUUUGAAUCUCCACUGCGCCAUGAUUAAACACAUUAGUAAUAACAAAAGGGCCAAUCCACCGAGAACAAAGCUUACCUGGGAAGAGCUUAAGGCGUGAAUUGAAUAAGAGAACCUUCUGCCCUUUCUCAAACGUCUUCCUAAGAAUUUUCUUGUCGUGAUAUUGCUUUGUUUUCUCCUUGUAAAGCUUCGCAUUCUUAUACGCUUCAUGUCUCAACUCCUCCAGCUCAUUGAGUUGAAGCCUCCUCUUCUCACCAGCGGCUUUCAUAUCAAAAUUGAAGGCCUUGAUUGCCCAAUAAGCCCUGUGCUCAAGCUCCACUGGUAAGUGACAAGGUUUACCGAAAAUAAGUCUAUACGGAGACAUACCUAUAGGGGUCUUAUAAGCAGUCCUAUAAGCCCACAAUGCAUCAUCCAAACGCAUGGACCAAUCCUUCCUUGUGGUGUUCACUGUCUUUUCAAGUAUGUACUUAAUCUCCCUAUUGCUUAUAUCAACCUGCCCACUAGUUUGAGGAUGAUAGGGUGUUGCCACCUUAUGCGUGAUUCCAUAUCUCUUCAAGAGUGCUGCAAAAGCUUGGUUAACAAAGUGGGAGCCACCAUCACUAAUGAUUGCUCUAGGUGUGCCAAACCUUGUAAAAAUAUUUCCUUUGAGAAAACCGAUCACAACUUUAGCAUCAUUAGUUCUAGUGGCAAUGGCUUCCACCCAUUUAGAAACAUAAUCGACAGAAACUAAUAUAUAUUCAAAUCCAUAAGAGGUAGGAAAAGGGCCCAUGAAAUCAAUUCCCCAAACAUCAAAUAUAUCAAUGAUUAAGAUAUUGGUGAGAGGCAUCUGGUUUCUAGCAUGUAAAUUACCCAUCCGUUGGCAUCUAUCACAUGAAGCACAAAAAACAUAAGCAUCCUUAAAAAGGGUAGGCCAAAAGAAACCUGAUUGUAGCACCUUGCUGGCAGUCUUCUUUGCUCCAAAAUGGCCUCCGCAUGCGUGGGAGUGACAAAACUCCAGAAUGCUCUUAAAAUCACCUUCAGGCACACACCUUCGAAUUACUUGGUCUGGACAAUGCUUGAAUAGAUAGGGAUCAUCCCAAAAGUAGUAUCUUGCUUGCUUCCUAAGCUUGUCACGUUGGAACGUAGAUAACCCUGUAGGGAGUUCGUUAGUGCACAAAUAGUUAACAAUAUCAGCAAACCAAGGCAAUGGAUUGAGAGAAUUCAAAGCACAAAUGGAGAAGAGUUGCUCAUCAGGGAAGCUUUCACGCAAUGGCAAUGAAUCCUCCUCUUCGUUAGAUACAUGCACCAAUCUACUCAAGUGAUCAGCCACGACAUUCUCACUUCCUUUCUUAUCUUUUAUCUCCAAGUCAAACUCUUGCAACAAGAGAAUCCAUCUAAUGAGUCGCGGUUUGGCAUCCUUCUUAGCUAACAAGUAUUUCAAUGCUGCAUGAUCAGUGUAAACAAUAACCUUGUUAGUAAUCAAAUAUGAUCUAAACUUCUCUAAAGCAAAUAUGACGGCUAACAACUCCUUCUCUGUGGUGGAAUAGUUGAGUUGGGCAUCGUUGAGGGUUCUACUAGCAUAGUAGAUGGCAUGUGGCUUCUUAUCAACUCGCUGUCCCAAAACAGCUCCAACAACAUAAUCUGAGGCAUCACACAUCAAUUCAAAGGGCAAGCUCCAAUCCGGUGGUAUAAUGACUGGGGCAGUUGUGAGCAUCUUCUUCAAAGCAUUGAAAGCAUUCUCACAGUCUUGAUCAAACACAAAAUCCAUGUCCUUGGCAAGGAGAUUGCACAUAGGCCUUGCAAUCUUAGAAAAAUCCUUAAUGAAACGCCUAUAGAAACCUGCAUGGCCAAGGAAAGAACGUACUUCUUUGACAGAAGUAGGUGAGGGCAUAGAGGCAAUCAAAUCAAUCUUAGCUUUAUCUACCUCAAUUCCUUUACUAGAGAUGACAUGACCAAGAACUAUGCCUUGGUUAACAAUAAAAUGACAUUUUUCCCAAUUAAGCACAAGGUUAGUAUGUUCACAUCUAGCCAACACCUUGGAUAAGUUAUGCAAGCAUUGAUCAAAAGAAUCACCAAAGACAGAGAAGUCAUCCAUGAAUACCUCAAUGAACCUUUCUACCAUGUCGGAGAAAAUGCUCAUCAUGCACCUUUGAAAAGUGGCUGGGGCGUUACAGAGACCAAAAGGCAUCCUCCUAUAGGCGAAAGUGCCAAAGGGACAUGUGAACGUGGUCGAUCCGCAGGCCGUGCAGCUAUGGCGAUUUGGUUGUAGCCUGAAUAUCCAUCAAGGAAGCAAUAGUGGCUAUGCCCAGCUAAUCUCUCAAGCAUUUGAUCAAUGAAUGGAAGAGGAAAGUGAUCUUUGCUUGUUGCUGUGUUGAGCUUCCUAUAAUCAAUGCAAACUCUCCAGCCCGUGGUCAUCCGUGUAGGUACAAGCUCGUUUGCUUCAUUCUUCACCACUGUGAUACCUGACUUCUUGGGGACAACUUGCACUGGGCUCACCCAUUGACUGUCAGAAAUAGGGUAAAUAAUACCAACAUUUAAAAGCUUCAUUACCUCUUUUCUUACCACCUCCUUCAUGUUUGGAUUGAGACGUCUUUGGGCAUCCCUCUUAGGCAUUGCAUUGUCUUCCAAUAAUAUCUUGUGCAUGCACAGUGUUGGGCUUAUGCCUUUGAUAUUUGCAAUGCUCCACCCAAUCGCAGUUUUGUGCUCUUUUAGAACUCUCAAAAGCUUCUUUUCAUCAUUUGGUCCGAGAUGUGAGGCAAUGAUAACAGGUAGAGUCUCAUUUUCACCUAAAUAAGCAUAUUUAAGGUGUUUUGGCAAUUGCUUUAAUUCCAACUCUGGUGCCUGCACAAUAGAAGGUAAAACCUUAUUAGUAGGUGGGGGUAAUGAUUCAAAUUGGUUUGCAUACCUCUUUCCAAUUUCUAUGUAGCUAUCCAUGCUGCAAACAAGCUCAAGAAGUAAAAAGAUCACAGCCUCAAAGCUGUCCACUUCUUCUUUCCUUAUGCUUUGUGUGAUGCAUGCUUCAAUGGGCUCCAAAUAACUCAUUGGCAGUGCUUCUUUCACCAUAGUAUCAAUUGCAUCAAGAUGGAAAACUUCAUGCUCAUCACUUGGAAACUUGGAGGCUUCAAACACUUUGAAUGCUAUUGUCUCAUCAAACACAUUCAUGGUCAAUGUACCCUUCUUCACAUCAAUAAUAGCACCGGCAGUUGCCAUGAAUGGCCGACCUAGAAUGAGUGGUAACUGAUUGUCAUGAAUUGGUGCUUCUUCCAUCUCCAACACCAAGAAAUCUGCUGGCAAAAUUAGCUCUUCCACUUUCACCAAAACAUCUUCUAGAAUGCCCUUAGGGUACCUAAUAGUUCUAUCUGCCAAUUGAAUGCUCACAGAUGUGGCUUGCAACUCACCAAGGUUAAGUUUCUCAUAAACAUGAUAUGGCAUAAGAUUUAUAGAAGCACCAAGAUCAAGCAAAGCUUUUUGAAACUUAAAAUCACCAACUAUGCAAGGUAUAGAAAACGAACCUGGAUCCUUUAGCUUUGGAGGCAGGUUUCUUUGUAACACUGCACUUACCUCUUCACUCAAUGCAACUUGUUCAUGCUCUUUGAAUCUCCUCUUGUUAGUGCAUAGAUCCUUCAAAAAAUUUGCAUACUUUGGAAUCUGAGUAAUGGCAUUGAGCAAUGGGAUGUUGAUUUGCACCUUCUUGAAUGUUUCCAUUAUCUCAUCCAAGCCUUGAUCUUUCUUUGACUUUGAUAACCUGCUGGGAAAGGGUGCAAUAGGCCUAAAAGCAUUAGUUGAAAUUGGAACUUGAUUAGCAUUAGAUGAUACCUUAGGGCCUGUGCUCUUUCCAGGAGCAUUGAUGGACUGAUUGUUGGAAGCUGUGGGCUGCCCAUGUGGUGGCUGAAUGAUCUCCACGUUUUCUCCAUCUUCUUGUUCUUCAUUGGCAUCUCCAACCUUAUUAUCAACUUGUUUACCACUUCUCAAGAUGUGUACUGCUUUAGCAUGCUCUUGAUGCCUUGGAUUCACCUCCGUUUGGCUUGGGAAAGUUCCGGAUGCUCUAUUGCUCAUGGAGGAUGCAAUCUGCCCAACUUGCACUUCUAGUUUGUUCACUGCAUUUUGAAGAUUCUGAUUGGUUUGCAUCUGUUGCCCCAUGAACUUCUUGAACAUGUCUUGCAAUUCUCCCAUUUGAUCACCCCUUUGCUCUUGCACUUGUUGCGGAGCUUGUUGGAAUUGCCUUUGUUGUGUUUGGAAUCCUGGGGGAGGUCCUUGAGAUUGUUGCACAUUUGAAUUGUUGCUCCACCUGAAAUUAGGAUGAUUUCUCCACCCCGGAUUGUAUGUGUUUGAGUAAGGAUCAUUAUUAGGAUUCCUUGCUUGAAGGGAAUUUGCUUGUUCUAGCAUGUGCUCCGCAAAAGAUUGGUCUACAAACUUCCACUUUGUUUCCUAGAGGGCCAGUCACUGCCUGUUGAAGCAAAGAACACAUAACAUCAAGUUUUGCAGCAAUUUCAUUAUUAGUACUUACCUCAGAGACCACAGCUUUCAUAGGAGCUCCUCUUCCUUUAUUGUGGCUCCAUUGUUGAGAGUUAGCACUCAAGGAUUCAAAGAGAGUAAAAGCCUCAUCUGCUGUUUUGUUCAUCAGUCCUUCUCCACUUGUUGAAUCUACCAUCAUCCUUUCGGAAUCAAGUAAACCUUCAUAGAAAGAUUGCAUUUGCAUCCAACUCUCUAUGUUGUGGUGUGGGCAAGAACUUAUCAUCUCCUUGUACCUCUCCCAACAUUCAUGAAAAGCUUCUCCUUCCUUUUGUGUGAAACCAAGAAUUUCCUUUCUAAUCUUGUUAGUCUUUUGAGCCGGAAAAAAUUUCUGCAAAAACUUAUUAGAAAGCUCUUCCCAAGUAUGAAUUGAAGCAUUAGGAAAAGAGUAUAACCAAGACUUAGCUUUAUCUUUUAAACUGAAUGGGAAUAGCCUCAUCUUAAUCUGCUCAUCAUCAAGGUUUUGAAUUUUGAUCGUAGCACAUAUUUCAAAGAAUUGCUUAAUAUGCAUGUAAGGAUCCUCAGUGGUAUUACCAUAAUAAGUUGGAAGAAGAUGAAUCAUACCACUUUUAAGCUCAAACCUGUCAACUGUGAGUUGAGGAUAGACGAUGCAUAAAGGUUGAUCGGUGACUUUGGGAAUGGAAAACUCACGCAGGGAUUUUCUUGGUUGGACAACAAGCACACCACCUCCUUCAUCAUUGUUGUUGUUCGAAAUCUCUACCAUGUUGCUUGAACCUUCAGAUUCGUAACUUUUAGAUUCAACGCUUGAAGAACUAUAGUUCUUCCUCAAACCAGCAUGCACAGCAGCGGUUCUUGGUGAAAGUGGCUCAGGUGAACUUUGCUCCUGGUCAGAUUCGGACAUGCACACACCAAGGAAGUCAAUUCAGUGCCUUCAAUGGAGAUAACAACAAAAUACAAAACUGAAUACUAAAAGAAAAACCAACGAAAAGAAACAAAUGAAAUAAACAAAAACAAAACAAUCAAAGUAAUCUAACUAUAGCACCAUCAUUACCGGUUCCCCGGCAACGGCGCCAAAAACUUGUUGAGCCUAUUGUUAACAACUAAAAUGAGUUAUUAAAAACAGCAACUUUAAUUCUCGCAAGUGCACGAACCGUUUAUAGUAUAGCUUAUGUAAAUACGAGGUCGAUCCCACGGAGAGUGGUAACUUGGUUCCAAGUUAAAUUACUUAGAAUGUUAGAAAAAUAUAGAACAAAGAAACUGACUAACUAGCUAAAGGCAUGGUCGAAUUCAACAAUGCCUCUUGCUAAUUACUCAAGGUCUAGGACAGAAUCCUAGCACCACACACGCACUCGAAAUGGGGGGUUUUGUUGUUGAAAUGAAAACAAGGAAGUGAAAUGAAAGUGCUCGAAAGUGAACACUGGUAGCAAUCAACAAGUUGUGAAACAAUGAUUGAGAGGUGUUAGAGCCUUGGAAUCCACCACUAGUUUUCCUAUCCAAGUUAUGAAUGCAUAGAAAUUGACUCAAGCUUCAUUAGCAAUAGAUUAUCGCAUACAAGCCUAUGGUAUCUAGGUGCAGGAUGCAUGAUUCUCCUAAGGCAUGUGAUUAUGCAUGGUAUCUACACAACACGUGAUCUCUAAUAUGCAACCUAAGCAUGGUAUCUACUUAGAAUAAAGCAUACAAGAGUCAUUAAGCUCCUUGAGAAUAUGAUAAUCACACAAGUCCUAGAACAUGGUAUCUGUCCUAGUCAACCUAUGGUUAUUAACCCCUUGAAUGAUUCUUAGGCCAUUCAUGUGUUGCUUGUGAAAGGAGAGUAGAAUAGGUGAAUCUAAACCCCUUCCCAACCUAUGCUAGAUGCAUAAAAUCCUAGUUAGCUACUCCAAGAGAACAUACAUCAAGCACAUAAUAAACUAGAGAUUAACAACUUGAUAAUAAAAGCAAGGAAAUCAAUUAACUAUAAAAUCAUCCAUAACAUUGAAUAUUCAUGACUAGGGCUUCAUCCUAAGCCCUAACUAAAUGGAUUAGUUAGACAUAACUAUGAAUACAGAAAAUAAGAAAUACAUAGAUAGGAUAAAGAGACGAGAAGAACUAGAUGAUGGGAGCAAGGAAGUUCCCAGGACAGCUCCAAGCUCCCUUCUCUCUUUGUGGUGAAUCUGAAUGUGUGUAUGAAAGUAAUGGAUGAAAUGAAUGUGUGUGUCUGCCCUCUCUCCCCUUGAAUGAGUGUGCAACUCUCUAUUUAUAGAGUGCAAUUUCGUGCUCCCCUUUGGCUGGUGAAGCACACCUCUCUUAGCUGCUGCCAACUGCUCUAGCUGCCCAUACAUGCCUGUUGCUCCAGCUGCCCAUACUUGCCUGUUGGACUUUUCUUGGUUUUUGAGUUCCCAUACUGAUUUGUCUCCCAUGUGUGGCUGCUCUAAUGUGUAGCACAUGGCUCUAGGGAUGUAGCCACAUUAAAUAUGAUGGCAGCCAACACGAUAUUUCUGUGAACUUGGUUCAGUCUUUGACGUGUUGAGGGCUCCAGUUUUAUCCAAUUGGGCUGAAAUUUGGAUAUGUUAUAAUAGACACCCAUUGGAACAACGUCUAUGAAGGAUGUCUCCUCAUCCGACCUGUGUAAGUUACUGAAAUGAGGCCUGCAAGAUGACCUACGAAACUGGACUGACAAGGAGUGUGGCACAAAUUGGUUUUGUCUUUAAGCUCAUAUUCCUCUUGUGCCACUCAGCCCUUAACAUGCAUGAAUUGUAUCAAAUGUCAUCCCCUUGCUAUCUUAACCUACAAAGCACACAAACAUAGGUAAGAGACUCAAAAUAAAGAGAAGCUAACAAAAUUACUAAGGAAAGAAGGCAUGCAAAUGUGUGAAAUUAUGAACUUAUCAAAUACCCCCAAACUUAGAUUUUGCUAGUCCUCGAGCAAAACAAAAUAAAACUACAACUUAGGAAACAGGAAAUAAGCAACUAGCCUUCCAAACAAUAUCCUCAAAGAAUCAUCAGUGUAAAUGGUUCGAAAGAAACACAACAAUCACAAUCUAAGUUCCACACAUGAUUCACGAGAAAGCAAAGCUAGCAUUGACACCCUUAAGUGUAGUGUGUGAAUGCCAAAUCCGAACAACACCUGCAUCUCAAAUAAGUACAUGUGCACACACUUAGAGCAAAAUCAAGAAUGCCGAACCCCAUAAGCUCAUUAUUCAAUCUGCUCUCCAUAGUAAUACCAUGCAACACCAAGGAUCAAAAGGAGUUUACAAGGGUAGUAAUGAGGUUUAGGGUAGUGGUUGAAUGAAAGAAGGGAUAUGAGAUAUACAAUAUUUUGAGCACACUUAAAGCACAGGUAAGAGCAUAAGAGAGUACUGAACUUUGUAACAAGCAAGGAACACAUACAUGAGCAGAUUUUCAACAUAAUUUCAGCACCUUGAAAUGUGUUUAUUUGGCCUAAUUUUGUGGCUCUUACCCUAGAUCACAUUGAAAUGUGNNNNNNNNNNNNNNNNNNNNNNNNNNNNNNNNNNNNNNNNNNNNNNNNNNNNNNNNNNNNNNNNNNNNNNNNNNNNNNNNNNNNNNNNNNNNNNNNNNNNNNNNNNNNNNCUCCUCGCUCAUUGCGACAGUAGUGUAUUUCAACACUUGGGUUACGGCACCAAUUAUUCACUUUUGCUCAAUAAACCUUGCAUUCUUUAUAACUCUCUUUUGAAGAUAACUUUAAUUGCUCAUACAAUAAGUAAGGAUAAGAAAACAGAGGCUCAUUAUGGUAGGAUUCGUUUACACAAAGAAAGGCUUAACAUAGGCUCAAAUGGGAUGACUAGGGAUGAAUACAUGUAGAGGGAUGGUUAGAAAGGCUCAAACGGUUCAAACAUGGCCUAAAUCACUUCCUAAGCAUUGUAUGGCAACAAAAUGUCUCAAGAAAUAUUCAAAUAAGUUCUAGAGUACGAAACCAAGAUCAUGAGAUAAGUCCGAUUUCAAGGACCAAUCGAUAUCAGAACGAACUUCGUUGGAACCUGAAUAGUCCGAUUUCAAGGACCAAUCGAUAUCGGAUUGAGUCCAAAACUUGGGGAACAUCAUAAUAUUGUGGGAGGAGUCAUUUGGUGGCUUUUGAGUGAAAUCCAAACUUUAGAACUAUACAAUACACCAACCACCCCAUUUCAGAACGAACUUCGUACGAACCUGAAUUGUCCGAUUUCAAGGACCAAUCGAUAUCGGAUUGAGUCCAAAACUUGGGGAACAUCAUAAUAUUGUGGGAGUUGUCAUUUGGUGGGUUUUGAGUGAAAUCCAAUCCCUAGAACUAUACAAUACACCAAAAACUUCAUUUCAGAACGAACUUCGUACGAACUUGAAUUGUCUGAUUUCAUGGACCAUUCGAUAUCAGAUUGAGUCCAAAACUUGGGGGACAUCAUAGUAUUGUGGGAGGAGUCAUUUGGUGGCUUUUGGGUGAAAUCCAAUCCAGACAACUAUAAAAUACACCGACCACUCCAUUUCAGAACGACCUUCAUACGAACUUGAACUGUCAGAUUUCAUUGACUAAUCGAUAUCGGAUUGAGUCCAAAACUUGGGGAACACCAUAAUAUUAUGGGAGGAGUCAUUUGGUGGGUUUUGAGUGAAAUCCAAUCUCUAGAACUAUACAAUACACCGACCACCCCAUUUCAGAACAAACUUCGUACGAACCUGAAUUGUCCGAUUUCAAGGACCAAUCGAUAUCGGAUUGAGUCCAAAACUUGGGGAACAUCAUAAUAUUGUGGGAGGAGUCAUUUGGUGGGUUUUGAGUGAAAUCCAAUCCCUAGAACUAUACAAUACACCAACCACCCCAUUUCAAAACGAACUUCGUACGAAACUGAAUUGUCUGAUUUCAUUGACCAAUUGAUCACAGAUUGAGUCCAAAACUUGGGGAACAUCAUAAUAUUGUGGGAGGAGUCAUUUGGUAAGUUUUCAGUGCAAUACAAUCCCUAGAACUAUACAAUACACCAACCACUCCAUUUCAGAACGAACUUCGUACAAACCUGAAUUGUCAAAUUUCGUGGACCACUCGAUAUCCGAUUGAGUCCGAAACUUGGGGAACAUCAUAAUAUUGUGGGAGGAGUCAUUUGGUGGGUUUGAGUGAAAUCCAAUCUCUAGAACUANNNNNNNNNNNNNNNNNNNNNNNNNNNNNNNNNNNNNNNNNNNNNNNNNNNNNNNNNNNNNNNNNNNNNNNNNNNNNNNNNNNNNNNNNNNNNNNNNNNNUGGGGAACAUCAUAAUAUUGUGGGAGGAGUCAUUUGGUGGGUUUCGAGUGAAAUCCAAUCUCUAGAACUAUACAACACACCAACCACCCCAUUACAGAACGAACUUAGUAGGAACCUGAUUUGUCCGAUUUCAAGGACCAAUAGAUAUAGGAUUGACUCCAAAACUUGGGGAACAUCAUAAUAUUGUGGGAGGAGUCAUUUGGUGUGUUUUUAGUGAAAUCCAUUCUCUAGAACUAUACAAUACACCAACCACCCCAUUUCAGAAGGAACUUCGUACGAGCCUGAAUUGUCCGAUUUCAAGGACAAAUCGAUAUCGGAUUGAGUCCAAAACUUGGGGAACAUCAUAAUAUUGUGGGAGGAGUCAUUUGGUGGGUUUUGAGUGAAAUUCAAUCUCUAGAAUGAUACAAUACACCAACCACCCCAUUUCAGAAUGAACUUCGUACGAAUCUGAAUUGUCAGAUUUCAAGGUCCAAUCGAUAUCGGAUUGAGUCCAAAAAUUGGGGAACAUCAUAAUAUUGUGGGAGUUGUCAUUUGGCGGGUUUUGAAUGAAAUCCAAUCCCUAGAACUAUCCAAUACACCAACCCCUCCACUUCAGAAGGAACUUCAUACGAACUUGAAUUGUCAAAUUUCGUAGACCAAUCGAUAUCGGAUUGUGUCCAAAACUUGGGGAACAUCAUAAUAUUGUGGGAGCCGUCAUUUGGUGGGUUUUGAGUGAAAUCCAAUCUUUAGAACUAUACAAUACACCAACCACUCCAUUUCAUAACGAACUUCGUACUAACCUGCAUUCUCAAAUUUCGUGGACUGAUCGAUAUCGGAUUGAGUCCAAAACUUGGGGAACAUUAUAAUAUUGUGGGAGGAGUCACUUGGUGGGUUUUGAGUGAAAUCCAAUCUCUAGAACUAUACAAUACACCAACCACCCCAUUUCAGAAUGAACUUCGUAGGAACCUGAAUUGUCCGAUUUGAAGGACCAAUCGACAUCGGAUUGAGUCCAAAACUUGGGGAACAUCAUAAUAUUGUGGGAGGAGUCAUUUGGUAAGUUUUGAGUGAAAUACAAUCCCUAGAACCAUACAAUACACCACCCACUACAUUUCAGAACGAACUUCGUACGAACUUGAAUUGUCAAAUUUCGUGGACCGAUCGAUAUCGGAUUGAGUCCAAAACUUGGGGAGCAUAAUAAUCUUGUGGGAGGAGUCAUUUGGGGGGUUUUGAGUGAAAUCCAUUCUCUAGAACCAUACAAUACACCAACCACCCCAUUUCAGAACGAACUUCGUACGAACCUGAAUUGUCCGAUUUGAAGGACCAAUCGAUAUCGGAUUGAGUCCAAAACUUGGGGAACAACAUAAUAUUGUGGGAGGAGUCAUUUGGUUCGUUUUGAUUGAAAUCCAAUCUCUAGAACUAUACAAUACACCAACCACCCCAUUUCAGAACGAACUUCGUAGGAACCUGAAUUGUCCGAUUUCACGGACCAAUCGAUAUCGGAUUGAGUCCAAAACUUGGGGAACAUCAUAAUAUUGUUGGAGGAGUCAUUUGGUGGGUUUUGAGUGAAAUCCAAUCUCUAGAAUUAUACAAUACACCAACCACCCCAUUUCAGAACGAACUUCGUACGAACCUGAANNNNNNNNNNNNNNNNNNNNNNNNNNNNNNNNNNNNNNNNNNNNNNNNNNNNNNNNNNNNNNNNNNNNNNNNNNNNNNNNNNNNNNNNNNNNNNNNNNNNNNNNNNNNNNNNNNNNNNNNNNNNNNNNNNNNNNNNNNNNNNNNNNNNNNNNNNNNNNNNNNNNNNNNNNNNNNNUAAGGACCAAUCGAUAUCGGAUCAGUCCAAAACUUGGGGAACAUCAUAAUAUUGUGGAGGGAGCCAUUUGGUAAUUUUUGAGUGAAAUACAUUCCCAAGAACUAUACAAUUCACCACCCAGUCAAUUUCAGAACGAAAUUGAUGGGAACUUGAAUAUUCAAAUUUCAUGGACCAAUUAAUAUCGGAUUGAUUCCAAAACUUGGGGAAAAUCAUAAUUUGUUGGGGGUAGUCAUUUGGGGGGUUUUGAGUGAAAUCCAUUCUCUGGAACUAUCCAAUACACCAACCACCCCAUUUCAGAAGGAAUUUGGUACGAACCUGAAUGUCCGAUUUGAAGGACCAAUCGAUAUCGGAUUGAGUCAAAAACUUGGGGAACACCAUAAUAUUGUGGGAGGAGUCAUUUGGUUCGUUUUGAGUGAAAUCCAAUCUCUAGAAUUAUACAAUACACCAACCACCCCAUUUCAGAAUGAACUUCGUAGGAACCUGAAUUGUCCGAUUUCAAGGAGCAAUCGAUAUCGGAUUGAGUCCAAAACUUGGGGAACAUCAUAAUCUUGUGGGACGAGUCAUUUGGUGGGUUCUGAGUGAAAUCCAAUCUUUAGAACUAUACAAUACACCAACCACCCCAUUUCAGAAUGAACUUCGUCGGAACCUGAAUUGUCCGAUUUUAAGGACCAAUCGAUAUCGGAUUGAGUCCAAAACUUGGGGAACAUCAUAAUAUUGUGGAAGGA